RNAcentral lists this ribosomal RNA (390 nucleotides) under uncultured bacterium. Its description in RNAcentral is "bacterial SSU rRNA". It matches the Rfam family "Bacterial small subunit ribosomal RNA", at positions 30 to 414 of the family's 1533-position model. The record is from RNAcentral.
AUUGAACGCUGGCGGCAUGCCUUACACAUGCAAGUCGAACGGCAGCGGGGAGAAGCUUGCUUCUCCUGCCGGCGAGUGGCGAACGGGUGAGUAAUACAUCGGAACGUGCCCUGUAGUGGGGGAUAACUAGUCGAAAGAUUAGCUAAUACCGCAUACGACCUGAGGGUGAAAGUGGGGACCGCAAGGCCUCAUGCUAUAGGAGCGGCCGAUGUCUGAUUAGCUAGUUGGUGGGGUAAAGGCCCACCAAGGCGACGAUCAGUAGCUGGUCUGAGAGGACGAUCAGCCACACUGGGACUGAGACACGGCCCAGACUCCUACGGGAGGCAGCAGUGGGGAAUUUUGGACAAUGGGCGAAAGCCUGAUCCAGCAAUGCCGCGUGUGUGAAGAAGG